Molecule: non-coding RNA, 106 nt
Organism: Streptomyces sp. WAC00263
Lineage: Bacteria; Bacillati; Actinomycetota; Actinomycetes; Kitasatosporales; Streptomycetaceae
Source: Rfam
AUCUUAUUCAGAGAAGUUGAGGGACUUGGCCCAUAGACGCUUCAGCAACCGGCUAUAAAGAAUACGAGUACGGUGCUAAAACCAACGAGCACUCGGAUGAUAAGUA